GCGAACGCUGGCGGCAGGCUUAACACAUGCAAGUCGAGCGGGCAUCUUCGGAUGUCAGCGGCAGACGGGUGAGUAACACGUGGGAACGUACCCUUCGGUUCGGAACAACUCUGGGAAACUGGAGCUAAUACCGGAUACGCCCUUAUGGGGAAAGGUUUACUGCCGAAGGAUCGGCCCGCGUCUGAUUAGCUAGUUGGUGGGGUAACGGCCUACCAAGGCGACGAUCAGUAGCUG
Molecule: ribosomal RNA, 234 nt
Filed under: Methylobacterium sp. ISO347_OTU4184
Lineage: Bacteria; Pseudomonadati; Pseudomonadota; Alphaproteobacteria; Hyphomicrobiales; Methylobacteriaceae
Also listed under: 1 other name
Description: partial 16S ribosomal RNA
Rfam family: Bacterial small subunit ribosomal RNA
Source: RNAcentral